CCUACGGGAGGCAGCAGUGGGGGAUAUUGGACAAUGGGGGGAACCCUGAUCCAGCGACGCCGCGUGAGUGAAGAAGUAUUUCGGUAUGUAAAGCUCUGUCAGCAGGGAAGAAAGAAAUGACGGUACCUGACCAAGAAGCCCCGGCUAACUACGUGCCAGUAGCCGCGGUAAUACGUAGGGUGCAAGCGUUAUCCGGAAUUACUGGGUGUAAAGGGAGCGUAGACGGUUAAGUAAGUCUGGAGUUAAAGGCAGGGGCCCAACCCCGGGACUGCGGGGGAAACUAUUCAAGUUGAGUGAAGGCGAGGGGUGCGGAAUUCGUGGUGUAGCGGUGAAAGGUGUAGAUAGAAGGAGGAACACCAGUGGCGAGGGGGGCUUACGAGACUGGAAGUGACAUGGGGGC
Molecule: ribosomal RNA, 400 nt
Filed under: uncultured bacterium
Lineage: Bacteria
Description: partial 16S ribosomal RNA
Rfam family: Bacterial small subunit ribosomal RNA
Source: RNAcentral